UGCCAGAUGCAGUGGUGACCACACCUA
This 27-nucleotide non-coding RNA is filed under the name Homo sapiens (human). The record is from RNAcentral. Lineage: Eukaryota; Metazoa; Chordata; Mammalia; Primates; Hominidae.